Long non-coding RNA from Lepidothrix coronata (blue-crowned manakin), 327 nucleotides. RefSeq lists it as uncharacterized. Lineage: Eukaryota; Metazoa; Chordata; Aves; Passeriformes; Pipridae. The record is from RefSeq and is a predicted model, not a curated record. The transcript is spliced from 3 exons.
GGACACCAUCCUGGGCCUGUCUCCAGCCCCUUGCGUUCCCGCAUCACGCUCCACCUGCUGGAGCUGCUGAGCAGGGAGGAGCCGUGCUGGGACCUGCCUGCCAUGGCAUUCCUUGUGGAGGUCCUGGACUGCCUGGACACGAGGGAAUGCGGUGACAGGGUCCUGGAGAUGCUUUCAAGGAAAACGGGGAGCACCAACACAAAGCGGCGUCAACUGGCGCUCCGAGUCCUCGUGGCACUCAGCCAGGAUCCCGUGAUGGCCAAGAGCAUCUGGAGCCUGAAUGAAAGGCUCGUGCAGCUACUGGGGGAUGCAGACAGAGAUGUGGUU